This 480-nucleotide ribosomal RNA is filed under the name uncultured bacterium. Its description in RNAcentral is "bacterial SSU rRNA". It matches the Rfam family "Bacterial small subunit ribosomal RNA", at positions 32 to 524 of the family's 1533-position model. The record is from RNAcentral.
AAUCAACGCCGGCGGCGUGCCUAACACAUGCAAGUCGAACGAGAAAGUGGAGCAAUCCAUGAGUAAAGUGGCGACCGGGUGAGUAACACGUGACUAACCUACCUUCAAGUGGGGGAUAACCUCGGGAAACCGGGGCUAAUACCGCAUAAUAUCUUUGGGGCGGAAGAACCGAAGAUCAAAGGAGCAAUUCGCUGGAAGAGGGGGUCGCGGCUGAUUAGUUAGUUGGCGGGGUAAUGGCCCACCAAGACAGAGAUCGGUAGCCGGCCUGAGAGGGCGCACGGCCACACUGGAACUGAAACACGGUCCAGACUCCUACGGGAGGCAGCAGUGGGGAAUUUUGCGCAAUGGGGGAAACCCUGACGCAGCAACGCCGCGUGGAGGAUGAAGUCCCUUGGGACGUAAACUCCUUUCGACCGGGACGAUAAUGACGGUACCGGUGGAAGAAGCCCCGGCUAACUUCGUGCCAGCCGCCGCCGUAAG